ACGAACGCUGGCGGCGUGCUUAACACAUGCAAGUCGAACGGAAAGGCCCUGCUUUUGUGGGGUGUUCGAGUGGCGAACGGGUGAGUAACACGUGAGUAACCUGCCCUUGACUUUGGGAUAACUUCAGGAAACUGGGGCUAAUACCGGAUAGGAGCUCCUGCUGCAUGGUGGGGGUUGGAAAGUUUCGGCGGUUGGGGAUGGACUCGCGGCUCAUCAGCUUGUUGGUGGGGUAGUGGCUUACCAAGGCUUUGACGGGUAGCCGGCCUGAGAGGGUGACCGGCCACAUUGGGACUGAGAUACGGCCCAGACUCCUACGGGAGGCAGCAGUGGGGAAUAUUGCACAAUGGGCGGAAGCCUGAUGCAGCAACGCCGCGUGCGGGAUGACGGCCUUCGGGUUGUAAACCGCUUUCGCCUGUGACGAAGCGUGAGUGACGGUAAUGGGUAAAGAAGCACCGGCUAACUACGUG
Molecule: ribosomal RNA, 467 nt
Filed under: uncultured bacterium
Lineage: Bacteria
Description: partial 16S ribosomal RNA
Rfam family: Bacterial small subunit ribosomal RNA
Source: RNAcentral